AGCUUUGUGCAGUGGCAGUAUUGUAGCCAACGAGGUUUAUCCAAGGCGAGAUCAUUACUAAUUGGAAAUAUAUAUAUAGAAAGCUCCAUAAAGACCCUGACGACCAGAAAGACAUUUCUGGUAUUUUCUAUUCUUGCUGUUUCAAAAGUAA
Molecule: small nuclear RNA, 151 nt
Organism: Ochotona princeps (American pika)
Lineage: Eukaryota; Metazoa; Chordata; Mammalia; Lagomorpha; Ochotonidae
Gene: U4
Rfam family: U4 spliceosomal RNA
About the family: U4 small nuclear RNA (U4 snRNA) is a component of the major U2-dependent spliceosome. The structure of U4 snRNA from yeast and human has been reported.
Source: Ensembl